CGGCCGCCCCGCCCGGCCCCAGCUUCUUCCUUUUACCUUCCUCCUUACCCCGCCCCUCGUUAGCUCCUCUCCCGUGGCACCCUCGCCGAACGUCUCCCGACCCCGCGCACGCGCAGCUGCCUGCAGACCCGGAAGCAGAUCGAGCCGAAGGACGGACGCGUCAGGGUGAGAGUGUCCAACUGUCCGGUUCAAAACUGCGGUUCGCGGUCCCCUAGGUCCCCUUCCGCACACCCGGGGGUCGUCCCGGAGGUUAAAAUCCCUGAACCUGGAUUGACUUCUGAAGACUGGUCUUACCUAAGAAGCCCAGAGAGCUUCCCUGAGAAAGAAGUAUCAAGAAUGUCUCUUUCCCAGGUAAAAGUCACAUUCUUGGUUAAUUCUUUUUUCUCUCUUUCCUGAAAUGCAAUUUUUUUGGACAUUUAUUCUUCUGUGACUCUGACUGAUAUAUCCUGCCUGUCAUGUUUGUUCGUGCUUACCCAGGAGAUCAUCAUGGAAAAGCUUCCUAAACAGGUAUGGAUUGGAGAUGGGUGUGGGUCUCAUGGUGUCAGAGUAAGUGGGCGGCAAGGAUUCUUUAGUAUUGCACAUCUGGAUGCACUGUCAGCACUUUAUACACCAAGAUUCAUGAAACUACAGGAACACUGGGAAAUUCUGUAAAAUGUUGAGAAACCUACCCUCCCUGAUUCUGUAACAUAUUUGAAGGUAAAUGAGUGAAUCAUUGUGUUUCUGGCUCUAAAAUAUUAAUGGUGUGGGAUAGUGUAGACCGUUCAACAACAGACAGCUGCUACAGAGAAUGUUUUAUUCCAUAAUUGGUUUUAAAAUACUUAAUCCAUCUAAAGUCCAAUAGUAAGAGAUUCUUUAAAUCAUUCUCAGCACACCAUCCCAAGAAGACCACGGUAUUCCCGUAGAGGUCUCAUGCACUAGGUGCUUUAGGUAAAAAUGGCUAUAAUUCAACACAUUGAAGAAGAUAUUUUUAUCUAUGCUAUCAGAGAGCAUGAGCCAAUUAUUGGUUCCACCACUUUUUUUUACUAGUUUGUGUAGUAUAAUGUUGAAAGCCUCAUUUCAAUGAAGUAUAAUUUAUACAUGUUUAUUACCAAAAAUACUGAAAUGGAUUUUUGUAU
This 1115-nucleotide long non-coding RNA is filed under the name Dasypus novemcinctus (nine-banded armadillo). RNAcentral describes it as "lncRNA (ENSDNOG00000051927.1)". The record is from RNAcentral. Lineage: Eukaryota; Metazoa; Chordata; Mammalia; Cingulata; Dasypodidae.